CAGUGAAAUUGAACUCGCUGUGAAGAUGCAGUGUACCCGCGGCAAGACGGAAAGACCCCGUGAACCUUUACUAUAGCUUGACACUGAACAUUGAGCCUUGAUGUGUAGGAUAGGUGGGAGGCUUUGAAGUGUGGACGCCAGUCUGCAUGGAGCCGACCUUGAAAUACCACCCUUUAAUGUUUGAUGUUCUAACGUUGACCCGUAAUCCGGGUUGCGGACAGUGUCUGGUGGGUAGUUUGACUGGGGCGGUCUCCU
This 255-nucleotide ribosomal RNA is filed under the name Shigella boydii. RNAcentral's name for it is "partial 23S ribosomal RNA". It matches the Rfam family "Bacterial large subunit ribosomal RNA", at positions 2034 to 2288 of the family's 2925-position model. Lineage: Bacteria; Pseudomonadati; Pseudomonadota; Gammaproteobacteria; Enterobacterales; Enterobacteriaceae. The record is from RNAcentral.